Molecule: long non-coding RNA, 236 nt
Filed under: Brassica napus (rape)
Lineage: Eukaryota; Viridiplantae; Streptophyta; Magnoliopsida; Brassicales; Brassicaceae
Description: long non-coding RNA (BNAP_LNC019065)
Source: RNAcentral
AAACAUCUAAAUUAAAUAAAAAUUAAUCUAUCACAUAUGAAAUUGAUAAAAUAACAAUAAAAUGUUAAAUCAAGCAUGAAAACAAGCAUCAUUUGUAAACAAUAUGCAUUGCCUUACAGAGAGUAGACUUUUUAUCUCAAUGAGCAAAUUAUAAAAUACUUAUUUAUAACUAAUUGUGUACUUAAAACAUUUAUUAGAAUUUUAAUAUUUAUUAUUAUAUAUAAUAUUACCACAAA